This 446-nucleotide ribosomal RNA is filed under the name uncultured bacterium. RNAcentral describes it as "partial 16S ribosomal RNA". It matches the Rfam family "Bacterial small subunit ribosomal RNA", at positions 338 to 795 of the family's 1533-position model. The record is from RNAcentral.
CCUACGGGUGGCAGCAGUCGAGAAUCAUUCACAAUGGGGGAAACCCUGAUGGUGCGACGCCGCGUGGGGGAAUGAAGGUCUUCGGAUUGUAAACCCCUGUCAUGUGGGAGCAAAUUAAAAAGAUAGUACCACAAGAGGAAGAGACGGCUAACUCUGUGCCAGCAGCCGCGGUAAUACAGAGGUCUCAAGCGUUGUUCGGAAUCACUGGGCGUAAGGCGUGCGUAGGCUGUUUCGUAAGUCGUGUGUGAAAGGCGCGGGCUCAACCCGCGGACGGCACAUGAUACUGCGAGACUAGAGUAAUGUAGGGGGAACCGGAAUUCUCGGUGUAGCAGUGAAAUGCGUAGAUAUCGAGAGGAACACUCGUGGCGAAGGCGGGUUCCUGGACAUUAACUGACGCUGAGGCACGAAGGCCAGGGGAGCGAAAGGGAUUAGAUACCCCUGUAGUC